UACAGAGGUCUCAAGCGUUGUUCGGAUUCAUUGUGCGUAAAGGGUGCGUAGGUGGCAUGGUAAGUCGGAUGUGAAAUCCCGGGGCUCAACCCCGGAACUGCAUUCGAUACUGCUGCGCUAGAGUACUGGAGAGGAGAUUGGAAUUUACGGUGUAGCAGUGAAAUGCGUAGAUAUCGUAAGGAAGACCAGUGGCGAAGGCGGAUCUCUGGACAGUUACUGACACUGAGGCACGAAGGCCAGGGGAGCAAACGGG
This 253-nucleotide ribosomal RNA is filed under the name uncultured bacterium. RNAcentral describes it as "partial 16S ribosomal RNA". It matches the Rfam family "Bacterial small subunit ribosomal RNA", at positions 524 to 776 of the family's 1533-position model. The record is from RNAcentral.